GGAAUUUGUUCUGUUCUCUCUGUUUAUAUACAUAAAAAAAUUAAAUGACCAAGACUUUUACGUUCAAAGGUAAACAAUUUCUUAAAUGUAAUCUUGGCACUAUAACUAAUAAUAGCAGAAUGACAGAAACUAAAGUGCAGUUUUGCAUCCGCUCCACUAGGCGGCAUAAGCGGGUUUCACCUUCAGUCUGACUCCUUCGGCUGCUUGACAACAUGACGCUUGAUGACAGUCACAACAACAACACGUGCAGAUACUGCAGAUGACAGCUGUUAAUGUCAGUUUAACAACAUGUUUUUCAGCUAAUCUGCAAAUAAAACCGACACACGGUCCGAUGAAACGCUGGAAUCGAGUGUGACGCGACUCACCUAAUAAGUGAUGUCUUGUUGGUUGUAAACUCGUCCGGCUGAAGCAGAGCUCUGGACGUGUGGACAGACAUUGACUGUAAUGAUGGACAUCUGCUCAGGGACAGUCUGUGCAAAAGUAUAACCUCUGCGGGUCACGGUGCUGGAAGCUCCAGGAGGAGACCGUACUGAUAUCCCCCUUCUUCAGGCGCGCCUUCACACACACUCCACCAUUCACUCAUAUCGCAGAGACCUGGCUGGGAUCAAACCAGCAACCUCUGAACCUGUGAGGCAGCGCUCUUACCUGUGAGCC
Long non-coding RNA from Sinocyclocheilus rhinocerous, 654 nucleotides. RefSeq lists it as uncharacterized. The record is from RefSeq and is a predicted model, not a curated record. The transcript has 3 exons. NCBI's taxonomy places the organism in Eukaryota, Metazoa, Chordata, Actinopteri, Cypriniformes, Cyprinidae.